This 253-nucleotide ribosomal RNA is filed under the name uncultured bacterium. RNAcentral's name for it is "partial 16S ribosomal RNA". It matches the Rfam family "Bacterial small subunit ribosomal RNA", at positions 524 to 776 of the family's 1533-position model. The record is from RNAcentral.
UACGUAGGGGGCUAGCGUUGUCCGGAAUCAUUGGGCGUAAAGCGCGUGUAGGCGGUCCGGUAAGUCCGCUGUGAAAGUCGAGGGCUCAACCCUCGAAUGCCGGUGGAUACUGUCGGGCUUGAGUACGGGAGAGGCGAGUGGAAUUCCUGGUGUAGCGGUGAAAUGCGUAGAUAUCUGGAGGAACACCGGUGGCGAAGGCGGCAUCCUGGACCAACACUGACGCUGAGGAGCGAAAGCCAGGGGAGCAAACGGG